RNAcentral lists this ribosomal RNA (346 nucleotides) under uncultured bacterium. RNAcentral's name for it is "partial 16S ribosomal RNA". It matches the Rfam family "Bacterial small subunit ribosomal RNA", at positions 338 to 699 of the family's 1533-position model. The record is from RNAcentral.
CCUACGGGAGGCAGCAGUAGGGAAUCUUUCACAAUGGGCGAAAGCCUGAAGGAGCAACGCCGCGUGCAGGAUGAAGGCCUUCGGGUUGUAAACUGCUUUUAUAAGCGAGGAAUAUGACGGUAACCUAUGAAUAAGGAGCGGCGAACUACGUGCCAGCAGCCGCGGUCAUACGUAGGAGCCGAGCAUUAUCCGGAGUGACUGGGUGUAAAGAGUUGCGUAGGUGGGAUAAUAAGUAGCUAGGGAAAUCUGGUGGCUAAACCAUUCAGACUAUUAGCUAAACUGUUAAGCUCGUGAGCGUGAGGGGUAACUGGAAUUUCUGGUGUAGGAGUGAAAUCCGUAGAUAUUA